GGAGCUGUCACUUCUACGAAGUUCUAGAUAAGGUUGUCUUAUAAGAGGGCAAACGUCAUCCAAUCCUCUUCCAUAAUCAACAGGUCUUAGAUCGUAUUCACCAUUAUCAAUUUGAAGAAAAGGGUCAUUCAAAAGCUCCGCUGCCGAGAGCCUAAAUGAAACCGAUGCCAAACACUUAUCAAUGAAUUGCCGCACUUCGGGAUCCUUCACUUUGUACAAGGCAUCUGGUUUUUUCCCAGAUAUGACUUUCUUAUAGAUUUGAGCAGGAUGUGUGCAUUCGCUGUAUGGAUAUUCAAAAGUUAUCAUCUCCAGAAUGCACAUUCCAAAUGAG
RNAcentral lists this unclassified non-coding RNA (331 nucleotides) under Hevea brasiliensis (rubber tree). Lineage: Eukaryota; Viridiplantae; Streptophyta; Magnoliopsida; Malpighiales; Euphorbiaceae. The record is from RNAcentral.